UACAGAGGUCUCAAGCGUUGUUCGGAUUCAUUGGGCGUAAAGGGUGUGUAGGUGGCGCCGUAAGUCGGGUGUGAAAUUUCGGAGCUUAACUCCGAAACUGCAUUCGAUACUGCGGUGCUUGAGGACUGGAGAGGAGACUGGAAUUCAUGGUGUAGCAGUGAAAUGCGUAGAGAUCAUGAGGAAGACCAGUGGCGAAGGCGGGUCUCUGGACAGUUCCUGACACUGAGACACGAAGGCCAGGGGGAGCAAA
RNAcentral lists this ribosomal RNA (250 nucleotides) under uncultured bacterium. RNAcentral describes it as "partial 16S ribosomal RNA". It matches the Rfam family "Bacterial small subunit ribosomal RNA", at positions 524 to 772 of the family's 1533-position model. The record is from RNAcentral.